CUUAUGAAGAAAGGUGGAGGGAUAGGCCCUUUGAAACCUUGGCAACCUGUUCGUAUAGAAAAAGGUGCCAAAUCCGAUCUCUUUUACGGGAAAAGAUAAG
Molecule: non-coding RNA, 100 nt
Filed under: marine eukaryotic metagenome
Description: SAM riboswitch (S box leader)
Rfam family: SAM riboswitch aptamer (S box leader)
About the family: The SAM riboswitch is found upstream of a number of genes which code for proteins involved in methionine or cysteine biosynthesis in Gram-positive bacteria. The SAM riboswitch acts at the level of transcription termination control.
Source: RNAcentral